GGGAGUCUCACUGUUUCAUACUCUUAAUGCAAUUUGAAUGUUUUCCCUUAGAAAUAAGUUACUGAAGUUUGUACAAAAACAUGUUCUUUCUUUUGUUUGUUAUAUAUGUAUGCACUCAAUUUGUCUUCUUUUGUUUCAAGGGUGUGAUUACUUUAGAGUCCCUUGGUAAAAGGGGUUAUCGAGUACCUCCUUCAGGAACGAUACAAGUGGUAUGUGUUUUAUAGCCUACAAUUGCAAUAAUCAUUCUCUCACACAUAUAGAGCUUAGCCCUUUCUCCUGCUACUGCUGCUGCAACAAACUUGACCUUAUUCAAUCCCAAUAAGACUGUGGUGAAGAUGUUUGUUGUCGUGUAUGACCUACGAAGUAUGCCAGCCAAUCACCAGACAUUCCUGCGGCAGAGGACGUUUUCUGUUCCUGUUAAACAAGAAAUGAAGAGAAGUAUUAACAAAGAGAAUGUCCAGCACACGGCACAGUUACUACGCUACCUCAUACACCUGAGGUUCCAGAGCUCUAAAUCUGGGAAGAUCUACCUCCAUAGAGAUGUCCGGCUCCUGUUCUCUAGAAAGUCCAUGGAGGUUGAUAGCGGUGCUGCUUAUGAACUCAAGUCUUACACCGAAUCGCCAACAAACCCACAGUUUUCACCAAGAUGCUGAUAAGGGAGACGGAUUAAAAGUAUUUGCUCAGUACCCAAGCUUGAACGUGAGCAUUCACCGAGUGGAAUACAUCCAAUGAGAGCCAGUGGAGUGGAGUGGCCCUCCUCU
RNAcentral lists this long non-coding RNA (761 nucleotides) under Rattus norvegicus (Norway rat). RNAcentral describes it as "long non-coding RNA NONRATT027873". The record is from RNAcentral. Lineage: Eukaryota; Metazoa; Chordata; Mammalia; Rodentia; Muridae.